This 253-nucleotide ribosomal RNA is filed under the name uncultured bacterium. Its description in RNAcentral is "partial 16S ribosomal RNA". It matches the Rfam family "Bacterial small subunit ribosomal RNA", at positions 524 to 776 of the family's 1533-position model. The record is from RNAcentral.
UACAGGGGGUGCAAACGUUGCUCGGAAUUAUUGGGCGUAAAGCGCGCGUAGGCGGCCGCUUAAGUCGGAUGUGAAAGCCCCUGGCUCAACUGGGGAAGUGCACCCGAAACUGAGUGGCUUGAGUACUAAAGAGGGUCGCGGAAUUCCCGGUGUAGAGGUGAAAUUCGUAGAUAUCGGGAGGAACACCGGUGGCGAAGGCGGCGGUCUGGGUUGACACUGACGCUGAGGCGCGAAAGCGUGGGGAGCAAACAGG